UGGGGAAUAUUGGACAAUGGGCGCAAGCCUGAUCCAGCAAUUCCGCGUGGGUGAAGAAGGUUUUCGGAUUGUAAAGCCCUUUCGGCGGGGACGCGGUACCCGCAGAAGAAGCCCCGGCUAACUUCGUGCCAGCAGCCGCGGUAAUACGAAGGGGGCUAGCGUUGCUCGGAAUGACUGGGCGUAAAGGGCGCGUAGGCGGCGUGGUAAGUCAGGCGUGAAAUUCCUGGGCUCAACCUGGGGGCUGCGCUUGAGACUGCUGUGCUUGAGGGUGAGAGAGGCUCGUGGAAUUCCCAGUGUAGAGGUGAAAUUCGUAGAUAUUGGGAAGAACACCGGUGGCGAAGGCGGCGAGCUGGUCAUUUUCUGACGCUGAGGCGCGAAAGCGUGGGGAG
Molecule: ribosomal RNA, 389 nt
Filed under: uncultured bacterium
Lineage: Bacteria
Description: bacterial SSU rRNA
Rfam family: Bacterial small subunit ribosomal RNA
Source: RNAcentral